RNAcentral lists this ribosomal RNA (452 nucleotides) under uncultured bacterium. Its description in RNAcentral is "partial 16S ribosomal RNA". It matches the Rfam family "Bacterial small subunit ribosomal RNA", at positions 355 to 798 of the family's 1533-position model. The record is from RNAcentral.
UAGGGAAUCUUCCACAAUGGACGCAAGUCUGAUGGAGCAACGCCGCGUGAGUGAAGAAGGUUUUCGGACCGUAAAGCUCUGUUGUUGGUGAAGAAGGAUAGAGGUAGUAACUGGCCUUUAUUUGACGGUAAUCAACCAGAAAGUCACGGCUAACUACGUGCCAGCAGCCGCGGUAAUACGUAGGUGGCAAGCGUUGUCCGGAUUUAUUGGGCGUAAAGCGAGCGCAGGCGGAAGAAUAAGUCUGAUGUGAAAGCCCUCGGCUUAACCGAGGAAUUGCAUCGGAAACUGUUUUUCUUGAGUGCAGAAGAGGAGAGUAGAACUCCAUGUGUAGCGGUGGAAUGCGUAGAUAUAUGGAAGAAUACCAGUGGCGAAGGCGGCUCUCUGGUCUGCAACUGACGCUGAGGCUCGAAAAGCAUGGGUAGCGAACAGGAUUAGAUACCCUGGUAGUCCAU